This 7509-nucleotide long non-coding RNA is filed under the name Lynx pardinus (Iberian lynx). Lineage: Eukaryota; Metazoa; Chordata; Mammalia; Carnivora; Felidae. The record is from RNAcentral.
CACAGGUUCUGUGAGCCAUGAUGUCUGUAAAGUGCUGGAAUGUCACAAAGAUGGCACCGUCACCCAGACUUAUUCCUGAGUGGAAGGACUUGAAACUCUUCAUAAAUAAUAUGCUGAAGGAUCUAAAGGUGACGUGUAUGGGAGAUCAGCACCUGGUGGGCUUGGACUAAUUAUCCCUGCCAGGGCAGGCUGUUCCUGGGCAGAAUGUGAGCUCCUCCUUGGGAGGAGCCCUUCCAUACCCCUAAACAAUUCCUCCCUCUAAACUAAGAUGAUAACAAUUAAAACACAUUAUGCUGGAAACAAAACAAAACAAAACAAAACCAAAAAAGUGAGUUCACAUGGAUUAAACAAGCAGGAGAUACCUUUGUCUUUACAUGUCAAGGACCCAUGUUCUUUUUCUUUCUUUUCGCUAUCCUUAAUAUUUUAGUGUAUCAUCUUAAGGUUGCAGGACAGUUCCUGUACUUCCAGGUAUCAGCUUUAAAUUGCAAGUAGGUAGAAGAGAGAAGGUCAGAAAGUACAGAGCUGUGCCAGCCUUAGAGUGCUACAGUUGCCACUCUGUAUUGCCAGAAUUUCUGGGGCCAUGAUCACCCUAAACAAGAGCUGAGUUUUACUGGGAUAGGAGGAUGAUUGAUACACAGUAGGCAACAGUACUUCUAGGCACAGAUACAUUACUUGGGUUUAACAUAGUCUUUUAGAGUCCUCCUGAGAAAACCCUUUAUACUGUUGAGUCAGUAAGUGAAUCAUUUGUACAUAAAAGGAGGAGAGGAAUGGUAAUUAAUGGAGUAAGGGGUUUGUAAAUUAGCCUUCUGAUUCAAUGAAGAGGGAUGGGAGAUUGAGAGCUCAGAUACCAGCAUCCUUUCUCUCAACUCUGCUGCUGUCACUGAACCAGCAAUGGCAGUGGAAGCUGUCUCCAGCAUUGUGUUCUGUAUUCUCCCAGAACACACAAAGAUCUGAAUAUGACAAAUAUAAAGAGAUUCUAAGUUGCCUCAGUAUAGUCUCAGGUCCUUUGUGGAUGCAGAGAAACUUGGGGAGUUAGAUUCAUGGAGUAGUGUUCAAGAGGCAGUAUAGCACAAGCUAUACUGCUGAGAAAGGGACCUCAGAAGUAGACUUAUGAGCCUCGGUUUUGGCUGAUCCCUACAAGGAGUUCAUGUCCUUAUGUCCUAGAUAUAAACUCUGUUACUGGAAGAUAAUGUAUGUUGGACAUGUCCUACUGUGAACAUGUUGAAAGACAUAUAUCGUCCUUAAUACACCACACACACACACACACACACACACACACACACCCCUACGGGGUCAGAAUACAGAAUGUUAGAGCUGAAGCACUCCACGUUUUCCUUGGAUGCAUAUCGGAAUAGUGAAAGAGGGACAUGCCAAAGUGUCUAGCUCUGAUGCCCACGGGCAUGCCAUGGGCAUUCUAAGUCUGUGAAGUACGAGUUUCCCAUAGGCAGUGUAUCAUGAGUGUGACGCUGACAGGAGUGGUCCUUUGGGCAUAGGCAGGGACUUUGAAGAGUUGUUCCAACUGAGGUAGAGUAUUUGCCAAGGUUGGAUUGUUUCGUCUUACUCAUAUAGGAUUGUAUUCCUUUCUUUGGAAGUACUUAUUUGUUUUGUACAGACAUUUGUUAAUUGUUUAUGUAAUGCCUGUUUCCCCCACUGGACUCUUAUCUUUUGAAAGCUAAGGCCAUGUCUCUCUUGCUCAGCAUCAUAUCCCCAGUGUGUGUCCUAGAACAUACCACCCUUUCUCAAGUGUUCCUCACCUGAACCAUGGAAAACAGAUUUGAGGGGCUAUUUUCUCAUUUCUCUUAAGGAUGAUACAUAACUAGUAACAUUCUAGAUGCAUAGGGGAGAAAUUAAUGCCUCAUGUAGAAUAGAUACUUUAGGACAUUAGGGCUUACUUCUUACGGAAACUUGGUUGAGAAAGGCUGGGAGGUACUUUGAAUUAAGAUGUGGGUGAGGGUGAGGGAGGGAUGACUCCCCCAAAUAGUGCUUUCCAGUGGUAGGGUAAAUAAAUGUUGGUUAAUGAAAAAACAACAAAUGUCCGCUAAUCCUCAAUAAAUAUUUAUUAAAUGAAUGAGUGAGUGGCGACUUAGGCCUUUUAACAGGCCACUCUUCUCUCUCAGUCUGCUGAGAAACCAAAGAAUGAGGUGAUUGUACUGAGUGACUGGCCUGAGACUCUGUACCAGGAGCCUCACCAUCCCCAGAGCAAGCCUUUCAUCUGCUUCUAUUCCAUCAACAUCAACUAUUUCGUCUCCUUAAACUGGGUGGAACCAGAUUCAAACCAAAUACAGGUAAAGCUGCCUCCCUUUUUUUUCCUCCUUCUUAAUCCACUUUAUAUUCAUCAUACCUGAACUGUCCUCAUCUCAGAAUGAUGAGGGGGAUUCUGAGUUAGCUCAUUUUAACAUCUAUCUCCGUUUCUCAAUCUGACCUGGAUGCAGUGAUCUUUUUCACCUCUAGUUUCAGCUCCAGAGAAUUCAUAUUCCUUAGAAAGCAGACUGAAGGCCAAGGAAAGAGCCUUAAGAAUCAUGUUUCUAUCCCGUACCCAAAUCCUAGUAUUAGGAAACUCCCAAAGUUAAGUUCUUUGGUCUUUCCUUAGUCUUACAAGAGGGAACAGCGAUCUAAACAUUCAACCCUUCAUACCCCUUACUCUUGGGAGAUCAUCUGCCUCCAUGGUCCAACUUUCAUCUCUCAUCCUCUUCUAGGCAGUACUUUGGAUACAAAAGAAAAAUACAGAAGCAGAAGGAACAAUGGAGAAGAUGAUGUUUUGUGUGAUGGAUCAAGUACCACCCAUUGAAGCAAUGGUCCACACAGGUUCCUACCACAUGUUAGUUGCUUACUGUGGUGACAUGCACCUGUGGCUCUUUGGAGAUCACCAUCGAGCAUUCAUAUCCCUGGGCACAGUGCCCUGUCGUUUCUUCAUCAGCUGCCUCUGCUAUGACCCAGAAACGGAGGUGCUGCUGUCUGGUACCUUGGGGGCUGUGGUUACCUGGCUUAUCUUACCAAAUGGCAGGGACCUCCAGAUGGCACAAACAGUGCCCGUGUCUGGUCAUGAGCUUGUACAGGGCUUUUCCCUGAAUGGCCCCAAGGGGUCUCUCCUGGCCCUUUGUGAGAAUAAGGUAAGGGUCUUCACCCACCAGGGUCAGGGCCAGCUGAAAGAGGUAAGAAAGUUCACUCCCAUAGGCAGUGGCUCUUCCAUCACCUGCUCCUUCACUUGUGUCUCUCAGGGAUAUUUCUAUGCUGGAAACAAGGAUGGAGAGAUCCAUGCUUGGGGUCUAGACCAGGGUAACUUCCUCCACAGCUUUCAGGCCCAUUCCUCAUCAGUUAUAUGUGUUCACAGCCGGCCAGAGAUCCACACCUUACUGACAGCAGGCCGAGAAGGCACAGUAAGGGAAUGGAACCUUGCCGUUGGGAACUUGCUGCGGCAGCUGGAUAUUGGUGAGGGUCUGUGGCAACUGCAGUUUAUUGAUAACACCACUUUUUUCUGCCAGACUAUUCACGCUUUCUCACUGCACCACCUGCCUUAUUUUUAUAGCCUCUUCAAUGUCUGUGGUUCUGCUCCUGAGCAGGUGCACCGGGUCUGCUGUGGCCGAAAUUGGACUCGGAUCCUGUGUGCCACUAAGGAUGGUUUGUUGCGCUUCCUGUCUCCAGUGACAGGAGAUCUCCUGGUUCUCACCUGGCCUCUGCUUGUCAUGGAUAAGGCUGUGGCUUGGGCCUAUGACCCAGACAAUGAGGAGCUCUUUGUGGCAACAGGCAGCUCAGAGGUGCUGGUGUUUGAUGCAACGCGCUCGCCUUGCACAGCCAAGUAUAUGGUAUGCACUUCAGUAAACUCUAGGGACAGAGUAAGUUGCCUGGCCUAUGCACAGUCCCAUUUGGGUAUGGGCCUAGUAGGACUGAUGUUCUGUGGGCAAGACAGUGGCAUUGUGAGAAUCCUCUCCCACUAUAGCUAUGCCCGAAUAGAAAAGACUGUUCAUUCUGGGGCAGUUUUGGCCCUGUCUACCCUGGAAGGUCCCCAGGAAAACUCCUUGCUCUGUUCCUAUGGCAUGGAUAAUACUGUAUACCUGACAGAAGCUUUGCUGUGGAAGAACAAGGUAAUCCUGCAGUCCAUAAGCAAAAUUCUCUGUAGUUGCCCCCUGCAACACGUGAUACUGCUGCCGGGUUCUGUGGGUGCCAUCACUGACAACCACUGCUGGCGUCUCUGGCACUAUCAAGAUUUUCUGCAAUCUGCAGAAUCAAAACAAAGCUCUAUGUUUGAAGAGACAAAAUGCCUGCACCAGUGUGCCAUCACUUCAUUUGAUGUCUGCUCCUCCCUGAAACUUUUUGUCACAGGGGGCAUUGAUGGCUCAGUCCGGAUCUGGGACUUCCAUGGUAGACUCAUAACUGAGUUGGAUUCAGCACUGCAUUUUGGUCCACUCUGCUUUGCCAAUAAUCGGGGUGACCUGCUUUUGACUUUCAACCAGAGUCUUUACCUGGUAUCAUGCUUAAAAUUGCUCCCUCCUGCUCGGCUGAUUCACCUAGCUAUCCUAAAUAAUGCAGAUGAAAUACAAGAAGACCCUAAACUCUUUCUGCCUAGCUUCUUCUUUUCUUUUGAAAUAGUACUUGUACCCAAAUUUGUCUAUCUUGGACAAGGGCUGCAGGAAUUACAGGGGCUAGAGGCCCUUGUUAACAAACGGGUCAUUGCCUUUGACAAUACUGUGCCCCAUGUUGUAGAGGAAGAGAGACGUAUGCCUUCUCUGAUUCAAGUGGAACCCAAAUUACAUUUUUUGGAGGAUAAGGAUAUUGCUUUUUCUAUUCCUGACACCAAGCAUAAUCAUCCCCCACAUGUGGUUCCUGCUCAACUACGGCUGGCUGGCUGGAAUGGGUUGAACCCCUAUCAUAAACUGCAUGGCUUCUUUGGUAAAGGGCGGCAAUGGCCCUUUGCUCCUGAUGGCUACAUCCCCAACUCAGUUAUCCGUGCCUGCCUUUGGCCUGACGGUACCCCAGUCUUCUUACGCCAUGACCUGUACCCAUCCUACCGAGAUACAGACUGGGACAUGACUGAACCCAUCAGAUGCCAGACACUGUCACCUAUGCCUCUAUCAGAAGAGAACAUCUCAAUGAGGAGAGAGAGGGAUAAAUCCAAGUGGUGGAAACGAACAUUCUAUGAUGUUCUAACAAGCUUGAUAAACCGAAAUUGGGCAGGAAGAAAACUUGAUGAAGGACUUCUAAAUAAUUUAAUUGAGGCAAUCCUCAGCCUCACAGUUUACUGUUCUAUAGACCAGUACACGACAUAUAUUAGUGCCCUGGCACAAAUUUUUGCCACUUACCAAGUAUCUCCAAGGUUGUGCUCUGAGACUGCCUGUCGCCUGCUGGAAGAUACACUCCAUCCCAACCCAUGCAUCCGUGAGCUAGCCUGGGAGGGGCUAGAUAUGCUUGGCAUCAUGAGCCAUCUCUUUGCUGUUCCACUGAGUCUGGGAUUGAUGGACAGUGAUGAAAAUGUGCGGGCUAAGGCUUUGUACCUUAUGAUAAGAGUCACAGGCAUCCAAAGUAAGAGCAUGCUGGUAGGCCUGCUGAAGGAACAAGAAACCCUCCAAAAAAUGCAGUAAGUUGUGUAGUGGCUUUCCCCCUUCUGUUUUUUCUAGCUCCUAACCUCCAGAAUCUGGUUGCUUAUUCUCCUUUUCUAUAACCCUUUCUAUUCUUUUCCUCCCACUAUGUUCUUUGUUUCUCUUUGCUUUUCUCCCCAGUGCUUACCCUUCUUCUGAUCCUUAAGAUUCCUCGAGACUCAAGUCUACAAACCUUCCAACCAAAAAAAUAUCUUUUAUCUCCCUGAUGACUUGAUUCUUUGCUAUCUUUGAUUCUUUCUUCUUUACCAACCCUUUACUUCAGACUACUCUGUCCUAAAUGGCCACUUUAUCUCUGCCUCUUCAAUUGUAAUUUCUUCUUCUCCUCCUCCUCCUCCUUCUCCCUGUCUUCCUUUCUUCCUUCCCUCCUCUUCCUCCUUCUUCUUCAAAUCUAGUUUUAUCACUGGCUUGGUAUCAUCCUUUUUUCCUCUUGACUUUUAUAGGCGGGAACUUAUUGGAGAAACCUCUCUGGACCAGCUGCUGGGGAUCCAAGCUAACGACAUCCAGUGCCUGCUUACACGGGUGGAGCAGCAGCUAAAUGAAAACCUGACCUUGUCACACAGAGACCAACAACCUCCUUUUUCUUUAGACAUAUCAAUGGAUGGUGAACCUGAGACCUUUGUCAAACGAACAUUCAUACCUGAAGAGAUCACCAAACGAAAGAAAAGAAUGACAUAUGUUCCAGAAAAGAGAGAAAGUCUUAGUAUGUAUGGGGUAAUAAAUGGGGUAUAUUUGGGGCCCACCUUAGGACACCAAAAGACACGGUCAGUAAGGCCAAGAUAUCUAAAAUGGGGAUACCUGGGUGGUUCAGUCGGUUGAGCAUCUGACUUCAGCUCAGGUCAUGAUCUCGUUCGAGCCCUGCGUAGGGCUCUCUGCUGUCAGCACGGUGCCCACUUCAGAUCCUCUGUCCUCCUCUCUCUUUCAAAAAUAAAUAAACAUUAAAAAAAGAUAUCUGAAAUUAUAUCAGUGGGAACAUAAUUACAUAGAGGUUCUUUUCCAUAGAAAGUAACCUUCCUGGGAAGGAAACACAUAUACCACAACAAAUAGCAAGGUGUUAUUUCUUCAGGAUAUGGAAGCUGGGAUAAAAUGACAAGCAUUUCUGUGCCAUAAAGCCUCAGUCCUCUUUGCCUCUGUACUUCUUAUGGAAGUUCAUUGAACUGUAUAUUACAAAGGAUACCACUCAGGGCCUCUGUUUUUUCUUAAAUAUUUUCCUCAAUAUCUCUGCAGUUAAAAAGGACCUGAGAGUUUCCAGAAAGAAGAGAGAGACAGAGCUUGUAAAAUUUAGCUCUAUGUUGGUGCCUUCAGAGGAUGAAGGUGAACAGAGAGAGGCCAAGAAAUCAGAGCUAAUUGACACUGAGGAUGUUGCCUUAGAGCCAGAGCUGCCACUAAGUACUUUCAGCCCAGCCAAAUCUGAAGAGGUUGCUGAAUCAAAGGAGGUCAUGACAGAAGCUACAGAAGCUAUGGAAGCCACAGAAGAAGGAAGAGGCCACAUGGCAGUCACAGAGGCAGUGGAAGCCACACAGAUUAUGAGGGCCAUAGAUCAACAUGACAUGAAAGAUUAUGGAGAGAUAUUCCCUAAGCUGGAAAGACAAGAACUCAUGAAAAGACUCUGGGAAAGGGCAGUGGAAAAAAGCCAUGAAAAAGUAGCUGCGAAGUUGAAACAGAAAGAAAAUUUGAAGGAUAUUUCAAAGACGACUGCAGAAGAGCCCAAAGAAAAAGUCAUGCAGAUUGCUGAACAAGAAAAAGAUACAAGGAAGAAACUUGGAAAGGGUGGCCAAGGUUUGGCUGGUGCCCCUGGACACACGGGUGAAUCAGACACCAGGUCUUGGCGGAAUGACAUUUGCUAUCUUGCCACCUCAAGGAUAGCAAGUUCCCAUCCAGGAAUGUUAAGGGAUCUGGGUCAAGAAUUGGUGGACUU